This 254-nucleotide ribosomal RNA is filed under the name uncultured bacterium. RNAcentral's name for it is "partial 16S ribosomal RNA". It matches the Rfam family "Bacterial small subunit ribosomal RNA", at positions 524 to 776 of the family's 1533-position model. The record is from RNAcentral.
UACGUAGGGUGCAAGCGUUGUCCGGAAUUAUUGGGCGUAAAGAGCUCGUAGGCGGUCUGUCGCGUCGGCUGUGAAAACCCGGAGCUCAACUCCGGGCCUGCAGUCGAUACGGGCAGACUGGAGUUCGGCAGGGGAGACUGGAAUUCCUGGUGUAGCGGUGAAAUGCGCAGAUAUCAGGAGGAACACCCGGUGGCGAAGGCGGGUCUCUGGAACGCAACUGACGCUGAGACGCGAAAGCGUGGGGAGCAAACAGG